UACAGAGGGUGCGAGCGUUGUCCGGAAUCACUGGGCGUAAAGGGCGCGUAGGCGGCCCUCUUUGUCGCGUGUGAAAGCCCCGGGCUCAACCUGGGAACGGCGCGCGAAACGGGGGGGCUGGAGUUCGGGAGAGGAGCGUGGAAUUCCCAGUGUAGAGGUGAAAUUCGUAGAUAUUGGGAAGAACACCGGUGGCGAAGGCGGCGCUCUGGACCGAGACUGACGCUGAGGCGCGAAAGCGUGGGGAGCAAACAGG
Molecule: ribosomal RNA, 253 nt
Filed under: uncultured bacterium
Lineage: Bacteria
Description: partial 16S ribosomal RNA
Rfam family: Bacterial small subunit ribosomal RNA
Source: RNAcentral